RNAcentral lists this ribosomal RNA (708 nucleotides) under uncultured bacterium. RNAcentral describes it as "bacterial SSU rRNA". It matches the Rfam family "Bacterial small subunit ribosomal RNA", at positions 127 to 851 of the family's 1533-position model. The record is from RNAcentral.
UGCCUCAAAGAGGGGGACAACAGUUGGAAACGACUGCUAAUACCGCAUAAGCCCACGACCCGGCAUCGGGUAGAGGGAAAAGGAGCAAUCCGCUUUGAGAUGGCCUCGCGUCCGAUUAGCUAGUUGGUGAGGUAAUGGCCCACCAAGGCGACGAUCGGUAGCCGGACUGAGAGGUUGAACGGCCACAUUGGGACUGAGACACGGCCCAGACUCCUACGGGAGGCAGCAGUGGGGAAUAUUGCACAAUGGGGGAAACCCUGAUGCAGCGACGCCGCGUGGAGGAAGAAGGUCUUCGGAUUGUAAACUCCUGUUGUUGAGGAAGAUAAUGACGGUACUCAACAAGGAAGUGACGGCUAACUACGUGCCAGCAGCCGCGGUAAAACGUAGGUCACAAGCGUUGUCCGGAAUUACUGGGUGUAAAGGGAGCGCAGGCGGGAAGACAAGUUGGAAGUGAAAUCCAUGGGCUCAACCCAUGAACUGCUUUCAAAACUGUUUUUCUUGAGUAGUGCAGAGGUAGGCGGAAUUCCCGGUGUAGCGGUGGAAUGCGUAGAUAUCGGGAGGAACACCAGUGGCGAAGGCGGCCUACUGGGCACCAACUGACGCUGAGGCUCGAAAGUGUGGGUAGCAAACAGGAUUAGAUACCCUGGUAGUCCACACUGUAAACGAUGAUUACUAGGUGUUGGAGGAUUGACCCCUUCAGUGCCGCAG